This 254-nucleotide ribosomal RNA is filed under the name uncultured bacterium. RNAcentral's name for it is "partial 16S ribosomal RNA". It matches the Rfam family "Bacterial small subunit ribosomal RNA", at positions 524 to 776 of the family's 1533-position model. The record is from RNAcentral.
UACAGAGGUCCCAAGCGUUGUUCGGAUUCAUUGGGCGUAAAGGGUGCGUAGGCGGCGCGGUAAGUCGGGUGUGAAAACUCUAGGCUCAACCUAGAGACGCCACCUGAUACUGCCGUGGCUAGAGUCCGGUAGGGGAGCAUGGAAUUCCUGGUGUAGCGGUGAAAUGCGCAGAUAUCAGGAGGAACACCAGUGGCGAAGGCGGUGCUCUGGGCCGGAACUGACGCUGAGGAGCGAAAGCGUGGGGAGCAAACAGG